Molecule: ribosomal RNA, 2545 nt
Filed under: Staphylococcus aureus
Lineage: Bacteria; Bacillati; Bacillota; Bacilli; Caryophanales; Staphylococcaceae
Description: 23S ribosomal RNA
Rfam family: Bacterial large subunit ribosomal RNA
Source: RNAcentral
UCCUGUAGUCGAAAAUGUUGUCUCUCUUGAGUGGAUCCUGAGUACGACGGAGCACGUGAAAUUCCGUCGGAAUCUGGGAGGACCAUCUCCUAAGGCUAAAUACUCUCUAGUGACCGAUAGUGAACCAGUACCGUGAGGGAAAGGUGAAAAGCACCCCGGAAGGGGAGUGAAAUAGAACCUGAAACCGUGUGCUUACAAGUAGUCAGAGCCCGUUAAUGGGUGAUGGCGUGCCUUUUGUAGAAUGAACCGGCGAGUUACGAUUUGAUGCAAGGUUAAGCAGUAAAUGUGGAGCCGUAGCGAAAGCGAGUCUGAAUAGGGCGUUUAGUAUUUGGUCGUAGACCCGAAACCAGGUGAUCUACCCUUGGUCAGGUUGAAGUUCAGGUAACACUGAAUGGAGGACCGAACCGACUUACGUUGAAAAGUGAGCGGAUGAACUGAGGGUAGCGGAGAAAUUCCAAUCGAACCUGGAGAUAGCUGGUUCUCUCCGAAAUAGCUUUAGGGCUAGCCUCAAGUGAUGAUUAUUGGAGGUAGAGCACUGUUUGGACGAGGGGCCCCUCUCGGGUUACCGAAUUCAGACAAACUCCGAAUGCCAAUUAAUUUAACUUGGGAGUCAGAACAUGGGUGAUAAGGUCCGUGUUCGAAAGGGAAACAGCCCAGACCACCAGCUAAGGUCCCAAAAUAUAUGUUAAGUGGAAAAGGAUGUGGCGUUGCCCAGACAACUAGGAUGUUGGCUUAGAAGCAGCCAUCAUUUAAAGAGUGCGUAAUAGCUCACUAGUCGAGUGACACUGCGCCGAAAAUGUACCGGGGCUAAACAUAUUACCGAAGCUGUGGAUUGUCCUUUGGACAAUGGUAGGAGAGCGUUCUAAGGGCGUUGAAGCAUGAUCGUAAGGACAUGUGGAGCGCUUAGAAGUGAGAAUGCCGGUGUGAGUAGCGAAAGACGGGUGAGAAUCCCGUCCACCGAUUGACUAAGGUUUCCAGAGGAAGGCUCGUCCGCUCUGGGUUAGUCGGGUCCUAAGCUGAGGCCGACAGGCGUAGGCGAUGGAUAACAGGUUGAUAUUCCUGUACCACCUAUAAUCGUUUUAAUCGAUGGGGGGACGCAGUAGGAUAGGCGAAGCGUGCGAUUGGAUUGCACGUCUAAGCAGUAAGGCUGAGUAUUAGGCAAAUCCGGUACUCGUUAAGGCUGAGCUGUGAUGGGGAGAAGACAUUGUGUCUUCGAGUCGUUGAUUUCACACUGCCGAGAAAAGCCUCUAGAUAGAAAAUAGGUGCCCGUACCGCAAACCGACACAGGUAGUCAAGAUGAGAAUUCUAAGGUGAGCGAGCGAACUCUCGUUAAGGAACUCGGCAAAAUGACCCCGUAACUUCGGGAGAAGGGGUGCUCUUUAGGGUUAACGCCCAGAAGAGCCGCAGUGAAUAGGCCCAAGCGACUGUUUAUCAAAAACACAGGUCUCUGCUAAACCGUAAGGUGAUGUAUAGGGGCUGACGCCUGCCCGGUGCUGGAAGGUUAAGAGGAGUGGUUAGCUUCUGCGAAGCUACGAAUCGAAGCCCCAGUAAACGGCGGCCGUAACUAUAACGGUCCUAAGGUAGCGAAAUUCCUUGUCGGGUAAGUUCCGACCCGCACGAAAGGCGUAACGAUUUGGGCACUGUCUCAACGAGAGACUCGGUGAAAUCAUAGUACCUGUGAAGAUGCAGGUUACCCGCGACAGGACGGAAAGACCCCGUGGAGCUUUACUGUAGCCUGAUAUUGAAAUUCGGCACAGCUUGUACAGGAUAGGUAGGAGCCUUUGAAACGUGAGCGCUAGCUUACGUGGAGGCGCUGGUGGGAUACUACCCUAGCUGUGUUGGCUUUCUAACCCGCACCACUUAUCGUGGUGGGAGACAGUGUCAGGCGGGCAGUUUGACUGGGGCGGUCGCCUCCUAAAAGGUAACGGAGGCGCUCAAAGGUUCCCUCAGAAUGGUUGGAAAUCAUUCAUAGAGUGUAAAGGCAUAAGGGAGCUUGACUGCGAGACCUACAAGUCGAGCAGGGUCGAAAGACGGACUUAGUGAUCCGGUGGUUCCGCAUGGAAGGGCCAUCGCUCAACGGAUAAAAGCUACCCCGGGGAUAACAGGCUUAUCUCCCCCAAGAGUUCACAUCGACGGGGAGGUUUGGCACCUCGAUGUCGGCUCAUCGCAUCCUGGGGCUGUAGUCGGUCCCAAGGGUUGGGCUGUUCGCCCAUUAAAGCGGUACGCGAGCUGGGUUCAGAACGUCGUGAGACAGUUCGGUCCCUAUCCGUCGUGGGCGUAGGAAAUUUGAGAGGAGCUGUCCUUAGUACGAGAGGACCGGGAUGGACAUACCUCUGGUGUACCAGUUGUCGUGCCAACGGCAUAGCUGGGUAGCUAUGUGUGGACGGGAUAAGUGCUGAAAGCAUCUAAGCAUGAAGCCCCCCUCAAGAUGAGAUUUCCCAACUUCGGUUAUAAGAUCCCUCAAAGAUGAUGAGGUUAAUAGGUUCGAGGUGGAAGCAUGGUGACAUGUGGAGCUGACGAAUACUAAUCGAUCGAAGACUUAAUC